AUAAGCAAACAGUCUUUCAAAUUUUGGCUGCAUGGAGUGUAAUGGAGUGACUGUGGUCUCCCUGUGAAGCUGCUAGAGCAGGGAGGGGCCGGAAGAGCGCUGCCUGGGACAGCUGUAGGCCAGGCCAGUUCACAUUUGGAAGCCAGCACUCCCAGACCUGCCCCUUGCUCUCUCCUCUGCCUCCUGGCUGGCUGUCUCCAGAAGGAAUCAGUAAGGUGCCCUGAGACCAGAUAUAUAAACAUAUAUAUAUAUUUUGAGAUGGAAUCUCGCUGUGUCACCCAGGCUGGAGUGCAGUGGUGGGAUCUUGGCACACUGCAACCUUUAACCCCUGGGUUCAAGUGAUUCUCUUGCCUCAGCCUCCCGAGUAGCUGGAAUUACAGGCGCCU
This 386-nucleotide long non-coding RNA is filed under the name Pan troglodytes (chimpanzee). Its description in RNAcentral is "long non-coding RNA NONPTRT000614". Lineage: Eukaryota; Metazoa; Chordata; Mammalia; Primates; Hominidae. The record is from RNAcentral.